This 1059-nucleotide ribosomal RNA is filed under the name uncultured Cryobacterium sp. RNAcentral's name for it is "bacterial SSU rRNA". It matches the Rfam family "Bacterial small subunit ribosomal RNA", at positions 337 to 1394 of the family's 1533-position model. The record is from RNAcentral. Lineage: Bacteria; Bacillati; Actinomycetota; Actinomycetes; Micrococcales; Microbacteriaceae.
UCCUACGGGAGGCAGCAGUGGGGAAUAUUGCACAAUGGGCGCAAGCCUGAUGCAGCAACGCCGCGUGAGGGACGAAGGCCUUCGGGUUGUAAACCUCUUUUAGUAGGGAAGAAGCGACUGGGUUUUCCUGGGAGUGACGGUACCUGCAGAAAAAGCACCGGCUAACUACGUGCCAGCAGCCGCGGUAAUACGUAGGGUGCAAGCGUUGUCCGGAAUUAUUGGGCGUAAAGAGCUCGUAGGCGGUUUGUCGCGUCUGCUGUGAAAACCCGAGGCUCAACCUCGGGCCUGCAGUGGGUACGGGCAGACUAGAGUGCGGUAGGGGAGAUUGGAAUUCCUGGUGUAGCGGUGGAAUGCGCAGAUAUCAGGAGGAACACCAAUGGCGAAGGCAGAUCUCUGGGCCGUAACUGACGCUGAGGAGCGUAAGCAUGGGGAGCGAACAGGAUUAGAUACCCUGGUAGUCCAUGCCGUAAACGUUGGGAACUAGAUGUGGGGACCAUUCCACGGUCUCCGUGUCGCAGCUAACGCAUUAAGUUCCCCGCCUGGGGAGUACGGCCGCAAGGCUAAAACUCAAAGGAAUUGACGGGGGCCCGCACAAGCGGCGGAGCAUGCGGAUUAAUUCGAUGCAACGCGAAGAACCUUACCAAGGCUUGACAUAUACCGGAAACGGCUGGUAACAGUCGCCCCGCAAGGUCGGUAUACAGGUGGUGCAUGGUUGUCGUCAGCUCGUGUCGUGAGAUGUUGGGUUAAGUCCCGCAACGAGCGCAACCCUCGUCCUAUGUUGCCAGCACGUAAUGGUGGGAACUCAUGGGAUACUCCCGGGGUCAACUCGGAGGAAGGUGGGGAUGACGUCAAAUCAUCAUGCCCCUUAUGUCUUGGGCUUCACGCAUGCUACAAUGGCCGGUACAAAGGGCUGCGAUACCGCAAGGUGGAGCGAAUCCCAAAAAGCCGGUCUCAGUUCGGAUUGAGGUCUGCAACUCGACCUCAUGAAGUCGGAGUCGCUAGUAAUCGCAGAUCAGCAACGCUGCGGUGAAUACGUUCCCGGGCCUUGUACACACCGCC